RNAcentral lists this ribosomal RNA (382 nucleotides) under uncultured bacterium. RNAcentral describes it as "bacterial SSU rRNA". It matches the Rfam family "Bacterial small subunit ribosomal RNA", at positions 918 to 1297 of the family's 1533-position model. The record is from RNAcentral.
GGCCCGCACAAGCGGUGGAGUAUGUGGCUUAAUUCGAUGCAACGCGAAGAACCUUACCUAGGCUUGACAUGCUUGUCGUAGUUCUGUGAAAGCAGAUCGUCAGUUCGGCUGGACUUGCACAGGUGCUGCAUGGCUGUCGUCAGCUCGUGUCGUGAGAUGUUGGGUUAAGUCCCGCAACGAGCGCAACCCCCUAUGAUUAGUUGCCAGCGAGUAAUGUCGGGACUCUAGUCAGACUGCCUGUAUUAAACAGGAGGAAGGUGGGACGACGUCAAGUCAGUAUGGCCUUACGGCCUAGGGCUGCACACGUACUACAAUGCCCCAGUACAAGUGUGAACCGAUACCGCAAGGUGGAGGAAAUCCUUAAAACUGGGCUCAGUUCGGA